GAGACCGCGGGGCCAGGCUCUCCAGUUAGCGUCAGCGCCUGGGCGGGUCCCGGACGCCUUGGGCGGGCCGGGUAAGGUCCAGCCGUAUCCGCCUCCUUCAUGUCCCGCUGUGGGAAGGGCUCUGGAGCGCCGGGACUGUGAGAUGGCCAAUGACGGUCUGACCCGUUGGGCCGGGCCAGGUCGCGGACAACGUCGACCGUUUGUUUAAGAAGCGUGGACUCUUGUCCUGAGUGCACCGAGGCUUUCAGCCUGCGGGACAGUGGUGCGAUUUGCAUUAGAGAAAGGGAGAUGCCAUGUGCUGGCCCAGCACUCCAACAGGGGCCUGACCUCUAGGAACGGGACACUGGAGGAAGCCUAGACAUUUGAACAAAUCAAGUCAUCCAGAUCCACGGUCAGCUCCUGCCCCGACUUGGCCUUCCUCCUGCUUUGCUGGCCCACGGACCUCGGGAACCUGCCCUGGCUGUGGGUGACCUGCAGGUACUGGUCAGCGUUGCUGUUCUGCUGGUCACUGCUGGAUGCUGCCGACACGGAGUCAGAUUCCGUGAGGGAUGGCUCGAACCUGGGCUUCUCUCUGGGCUUCAUAGGGGGCUGUGGGUAUUGGAAAUUCCGGGAUCGUGGCUUUUUGGGCACAUAGGCUGGCCUCUCAAGGUGACCCUCAAAAUCUUCAUUCCACGACUUGUAGUGCACCCUCCCCUGGUGCUCGGGAUCCAGGGUCUGACUUUCGGACCUCUCCCCAAUAUAAAAAUGAGGAGCCCGACGGAGGUCUAUCAGGGAGCGUGGGGGAAGAGACCGUUUGAUCCAAUCUCUCCUUGGCGUCUCCUCCUCUUCUUCACUCAGCUGUGGGGAGGGAGGCUGGCGGGGGACCCGGGAUGCAUAUUGUCGCACGUUCCUGGGGUACAGCUCCACAAUGUCACCUGAAGCAUCUAUCUUGAAAUGUCUUUCUGGCCAGACAUUUAGAUGUUUUUUCUUGUAAGAGUCACGUUCAUUAAUGACAUAGUAUCUGGGGGCGUGGGGCCUGGGACCCUGUGCCAGCAAAGUCGAGGCCUGUGGUCCACGGUGAGGAGGGUUGAUUUGCUGAAAGUCUUUUCGGAAAAGAGGUUCUGAGUGUACAUCUUCGAUGUGUGUUGUAAAUGUCAUAGGUGUGCGCGAUCUGUUCCUGUGAAGGUCACUGGUGCUUGCACACAGACCAUGCAGAUACCUGUAAGACAGGGGCGGUUAAGUAGCUGUGGCCUUGGUGGUCUCAGAGCCCCACACCUGAGGACUGUGAGCUGUGAGCAGUUCUCUGAGCAUUUUCACUGAGGCUGGUUCCAACUGGUUAAUGGGUGCGGAUUGUGUGCACAGAGACAUUUGGGGGACAGGGCUAAACAGUUUUCUUUACUGCUGGAAUUUUCAGAACCUAAAUCAGUGAUGUACACGUGAGUCUCCAUGAAGACUGCAGAGCGAGGGGUGUUGUGCUAGUGUAUUUCAUCACAGAGCCCUCUUUGUGUCAAGAGGCACAUAGUGGGACUAGUAUCUGUGAAGCACUUGUUAGGAACACAGUUUCUCAUCCUUUCUGCUAAGCAGCUGUCUGAUUCUCAAGCACUUCUCUGAGUUUCCACUGGUGGGUGGAGGGGAGUUGUACAUAUUAAACAGUUCUUCCCUGGCCAGGUACGGUGGUUCACAUUUGUAAUCCCAGCACUUUGGGAGGCCAAGGCAGGUGGAUCACUUAAGGUCAGGAGUUUGAGACCAGCCUGGCCAACAUGGUGAAACCCGGUCUCUAUUGAAAAUACAAAAAAAUAGCCGGGUGUGGUGGCAGGUGCCUGUAAUCCCAGCUACUCGGGAGGCUGAGGCAGGAGAAUUGCUUGAACCUGGGAGGUGGAGGUUGCAGUGGGCCGAGAUUGCACCACUGCACUCCAGCCUGGGUGACAAGAGCAAAACUGUAGUCUCAAAAAAAAAACAAAAAAAAACAAAAAGUUCUUCCUGAUAAAGACUUGAAUCUGUAUGGUGGCUGUAGUUUGACCCCUAGUGGCCUCUCAAGGAGUGUUUGAACCCUUUCUCCUUGUCAAGACCCCACAGAGACAGGCAGACAACUCCUUAUAUAACAAGACUUCAAGUUCUUUGCUAACUUAGUCAUUAUCUUUAAAAAAGAGAGCCCCUGUAUUUUAUCUAUAUUGCUUUCGCUGUGCUACAUUCAGAUCAAAUAUAAUUCUCCAUAUGAGUUUGGGCCACCGCAGGUCUGUCCCCUUCAUCUUUCCAGGGGUCCUACCUCCAUUAAAGUAGGAAGGGAUCUACUGCUUUCUUUGAUCCCAUGUAAUGCAUAAAUGGUCUUGCCAAUAACUUGACCAGACUAGAGCUAAAAUAUGGAAGAUCUUGCCAAUGAUAUGGCCACUGUGGAACUAAAAAAUAAGCAGUUAUUUUCUUAGCCUAGACAAAUGUUUAUCCUAGGUUGGCUGGAAGGUUUGCUUACAAGUUAAAUGGCAGAUAACCUAGGAGGAAGAAUUUGUCCUGUUUGAUAAACUUUGACACCCCCACCCCACCUCCAUUUCUUUUUAGUACCAGCUGUCAUAGUCUCCUGACCCAUGCCUUCUGGGAGAAUUAGAAUUUAAUGGCCUUGGCCUCCUGAAGCUGCUGAGGCCUUCAAAUCUCUCACAUUCCAGGUUUUAAUCUGUGCUGCAAUGGAGCCUCACCUGUUAGUUUCAUGCUCUAGCCUGGAUUUGGAGACCCCAGGGAGAAGUGAGCUAGGAGCCCUGUCCCCUGGCCUGGGGCUCUGGGGCAUGGACUGUGCGACUGUCUCUAUUCUGCCACUCUUGCUGCUCCCUGAGUCAAAAUGGGCCACGUUGCCGUUGUUUUGGGGUGUGCCCGAGUACGCUGAGGACAGCUGGCUGGUAAGAUCACUGUCGUUGGGAAGCUUCUUGGUGCUUUCUUCCUGGGUCUGGAUUCGGGCUGCAGGGAGAGGGAGGUGUUGUGAGAAGACAAGUGUCACUGAGCAGGUAACAACUUCAGAUGAGUUGAGUUGCAAGAGUUUUAUGACAUCCAAGAGUUGGUCUGCAAACAAUUGAGUGCACUUACAAAUACACCUAACCAGUGGGCAACAAACAUUCUGUAAUUCAAAUGAUCUCAUCCCUGCAAGUUGGAGCUGGGAGUGUAGGAGGAAUCAAGUGAACACAAGGCUUUACAGUGCUCCACCUGAUGCUCCCAUGAGGCAAAGCAAGUACUUAACAGCUUUGGGCCUCCAGUUCCUUAUCUCUUCAAUGGAGAUAAUAAAGCUUACACAACAAUUAUGAUUCUUUGGAAACAGUUCACAUGCAUUCUGAAAAAAGAUGUGGUCUCGAGCUGGAAAAUGAACACUGGACAAUGCUAUUGUUAUCCUGAAACAGUCUAUGUGGAUUCUGGCUUUUGAAGGUGACCUGAACUAAAUUUAAUUAUGCUUAAUUGGCAAAUAAGCGAUGACAAUUACAGAGGCAUUUUAUGGCGUGAGCCACAGUCACUUUCAGUAAUCAUUAUCAAUUGUAGGCUUCUCUCUGAAAAGCUGAUGGAGCAAGCAAGCAUAAUCCUUAGGCCUUAGAGCUCUUGCUCAGGCAUUUUUCUGGAGAGGAAUAUUUCCCUUCCAAUUAGUGAAGUAUUGCAACAGCUGUGAGAGCUAGCCCCUAAAGCCCUUCUGGGUCCCAUUCUCAUUCAUGUAGGCUGUGCCAUGUUAAUGGUGCCCAGUGAGCCUUCUAGCUCACAGCACUCUGUUAGUGGUCCUGAGAAACAGAUCCAUCUCCUUCGAGCUGCCGUUGCCCACUUUCUUCCCUUCAGGCCCCAGCAGACUUCUACGCCACAUGCUUCCAUUCUCCCUGCUCUGCAGGGACAGGGCAGAACCUAAGGAGGCUCAGGGAAGGGACCUGGGAGGGAACAUUGCAAGGAAGAGAUGGGCCAUGGAGAGGAAGUAUACAAAAGUGACCCAGACAAAGAGAUUCUUUGGGCUUUCAUCCAUGUGAAUGUGCUGCUUUUCCUCUCCUACUUCGAUACUUCCUUCUGAUUUUACACAUGUUUUGGGAUUAUUCAUGGGCCUGGAUAUGAUAUAAAAAUUAAAGAUUUAAAACAACAUUUAUAUCCCUAGAUUUUAUUUUAUUGUGCAUAGUUACUGAUGAAAAACCACAGGUUAUCAGGAAUUUGUAUUGGUAGUAUACUGCAAACUACUUUAAAUGGCUGUAUUUUUAAAUGCCCACUAACUGAGACAGCAGAUCUCUGCAUUUAAAAAAAAUAUUAGGACAGGUGCAGUGGCUCACACCUAGAGCUAGCUCUAGGGGCUAGCUCUCCCCAGCACUUUGGGAGGCCAAGGUUGGUGGAUCAUGAGGUCAGGAGUUUGAGACCAGCCGGACCAACAUGGUGAAAAUGUAAAAAUUAGCCAGGUGUGAUGGCACGCACCUGUAAUCCCAGCUACUCAGGAGGCUGAGGCAGGAGAAUCACUUGAACCCGGAAGGUGGAGGUUGCAGUGAGCCAAGAUCACACCACUGCACUCCAGCCUGGGCGACAGAGCAAGACUCUGCCUCAAAACAAAACAAAACAAAACAAAAAAACAACAACAAAAAGAAACGGAAAUACUUACCUUCUACCAUCUGGGCAACCUUUUUCUUAUCCUCUGAUCUUGCCUAAAAUGCAAAUGAUAUGCAUGUUUGUUUUGGCUUUAGCAGGAAGCAGUAACAAAUAUUAUUCCUGGGGGAAGAGAAAAAGAUUUACAUGCCAUAGUUCUUACCUUGGACCAUAACUGUACUACUAUUGCCCCCUAUGGACGGUAUGCUCUGGGCUCGGGCCUGUUAUUUGAGUGAAUAAAUGCAGAUACCUGACAGCUGAAGUUUUAUGCCUAGCCAGUUUUAUUUAGGGACAGCUAAUUAACAGACCAUGUUUAGAUUAUGUCCAUAAUAGUUUGCCUGAAUCACAAAGAAAAAAAUACAGAUCGACAACACUGGAGAUGCAUGUUUCCACCAAAAUGGCCUUUGUAACUCCAAAUGGAUUUCCAAUUAGAAGCUAAUUUGUGUUUCUUGGUAUGAAUUGAUGUUCAUGGGAAGUUUUUUUUUUUCUGAUAGAAGUGGUAGGAGUUUUUUUGCAUGGGUGAGGUCAGUGAGGCAUCUGGGGUGCCAAAUUUAAGGAGGCACUUAUUUUCAGGGCUGUGAAAGGACAGAAUCAGCAUUACGCUUACAGAGCCUCCUUAAAUGUGGUGCUUUGGGAGCCUCACUGGCCUCAUCCCAGUCCUGGGAUCCUUCCUUGGGGUCUGGAGGACCCAGGGCACUAAGGGAACACCUGGGGUAUGUGGAGGAGGAGAAAUUGUGGGAGUUUUGGAAGCAUGUGUCUCCCUGGGACUGCUCUGAGAGAUAGGGUUUGAGCCCCAUGGAGAGAAGGUAAUGACAGCCACAUCUAAAGGAUAUGAAAGAGGUGAGGCUUUAGGGACAAACAGUGCUGCUGGGCUCAGAUGCCCAAGUCGACAAGGAUUGGGAAGGGGCCCUUUGUCUCCCCUGCCAAUCUACCAGAGCUCACAAAAGUACCUGGCACACUGAGGGCUUGGUGUGGUCACAGGGUGGGCACUGAAAGGCUCGAGGCAGCAGCAAGGCCUCUUGAGGAGGAAGAAAAACAGGAGAGCAGCCUUCCUCCUAGCAAAGGGGAGCCAUCCCUGGGUAUUCUUAGAAAUAACUCUUGGACAUCUGGGGAUUGGUGGCCUUGCACCAUAGUGGGUGGCCAAGAGUCACAGAAACCUUGAAGAUGUGACCUCACUUGUAUUCCCACGCUGGCGGGAUCUCAGUCAUGUGGUUGACACAUAUUCAUAAUAGCAAAGUUCAUGAAAUACUUGCGUUUUGGAUCUGCAUUUUGAGCUGGUGGUUGCUGAGCUUUAGAGACCGUGCGAUGCUCUGGAGAUAAUAGAUGAGCAUGCUAGGACAGAACAACACAGGACAAUGAGUGGACUGCAACUUGCUUUUCUGCUUUUCAGACCACAUUCCCUGCAGAGAGUUGGCAGGAAUGAGAGGCUCCCAGGCCAGAUGCGGGCUAUCCACUGACCCUCCACUAAGGACAAAAUGUAUCAGCAAAUUCUCAAGCCAGUGAGCACUGGGAAGGGGCUGCUUUUGUUUUCUCUUCCUGGCUUUCCACAGCACCCUCGUUGACCUGGAAUUCUGCACUGGUGAUAGCAAUAAGGAAGAACUGAAAAUGGGGGAGAAAUUUUGCAGUCUAUCAAGCUAUGAGUACAGGAUCCACUCACUUUUAUUUUUUUUUCCUUUAAACCAAAAUAAGCCAAAGCUACUCAGCUGAGUUGUGAAAUUCCUUUUCAGGACUAUUUAAGUUUCUAGAAAAUGACAAUGGCAUUCAGCCCCAUUCCAGUGAUCACAGUAAUUGACCAAAUGGUGUUGAUGGAUCAGUAACCACCUCAAUGGCAAUGGAGUGCUCCCUCACCGCCCCUCACUGAGACCCAGUGGCUGUGUCUCCAUGGCACAGUGCCUCAUGUGACUCUGGUGUGUGACUCAGAGUCCCUGUUGAGAUCAUCAGGCUCUAAGCCUAAGUGAUUUUUGAAUGAACUAAUAAAUUUUAUGUAAUUAUUGGAAAGCAGCGUUUUCUUGUUGGCCAAACACACGGAAGUCCCUCCAAAGCUGGCAGGUGUGGUACUCACAAAAGCAGGAGUACCGCGGGCAGGAUGACCACGGGGCUACUGAUGUGUCCAACCACGGAGCCAAACCACACGGGAAAGUCUUUCUCAAUCGUUUCUGACACAAUGUCAUAAAUUUUCUCUUGUCCACUGUGAGAAAGAAAAACAUAACUCCAGAUUUUAUUGCUCUUGGCAGAAAGAUGCUGCAAGACAUCAGAAAAUGGCUGGAUGCCUGGAGGCCAAUUCAUAACAUUCCUCAAAUGAUUUCAUAUCUAAUUAAUAUGGAGGAUGGAAGAUGGGGUCAUUAAUCACAUUGCAUGUAUGUGUGUGUUCUAAUCGUGUACACUAAGGUAGACUAAAUAUUCCAUGUUGUAUCAAAGCUGACUUGAAUGCUGGAUGAAGAUACUAGAGGGUUUUGCUUGAAUACAGCUGGAUAAUAUAGGAAAAAAAGUGCUGUGCACUGUGGUUUAAUAAAAGCUUUCUGUGUUUUGACCAGGUAGAAUGUCCUCUAGCACAGAACAAUGCUGUUUCUCUUUUUCACUUUAAAAGGAUUAUGUUUUUUAACAUGAGCACAGAGAUGAUUAUACUAAGGGCAGCCUUCUAUUAAGGAAAGAGCACUGGUCUUGGAUUUAAAACAUGCGGGUUUGCAAUCUUUCUAUCCUGUUUACCUGCUCUGUGAGCUUGGAGGAGAAUUCAGUUCAAUAUGAUUUAAUUCCCUUACAGCUGUCAGUCGCUCCGGGCAGAGCUGGGAACGAAACUUACCUGAAUGGCCCACAGUUUAGAGAUGGCUUGUAUCGGACAAUAGCAAAAAUGGUUGGCAGCAUGCACAGAAACAGCAUAAACAGGAGCAUUGCCAAGUAGAAGUUGUUGGAUCUGCAGAUAAAUCAGAUGUCAUGUGUUAAGUUCACUCCAUAGCCAGUUGCCAGGGUUGCAUAUGCCCAAAGAGCUGCCACAGAAACGGUUGCCCUGACUCUUUGCAAACUAAAAAUCGUCCUCUCAGGGUUACCUACAAAUGAUUCUGUCAUAGGGUCACAUGCAGCUUAGAAACCUAGAAAUCAGCGUUCAAAGGAACUUCAGAGAUCUCCCACCCAACCUGUUCAUCUAAUAAACAUUUGCUGAGCACCUGUUCACCUCAAACCAUGCGAGUGGUGAACUCACCCUGGCACCCAGGAGUUCCACACAGUAAACUCGAUUUAUGGAAAAAUCUUAGAAGCAUUGCCCAUCCAUCUGGGUCCUUACCUAAUGGUUCCCUCUCCUAUUCCCAGGCUUGAACUUGUCUCUUACGUCUCGGGAUGGUUUGGCUCUUUUGUUUAUGAUUCCUGACUCUCUCACUUGGGUGUGAUUUGCACUCCCUCUUAUCCACUCCACAUGUGGCUGCCCAGGGUAUGUGUUCUACCUGAUUAAGCCCUGGUCCCUGAGCCCUAAGCUAGUGUCAGGGAGUUUGGAUGCCCAGAGCUCCCCUGAGGGCAACUUAGACCUGUUUGGUGUGCAAGGCCCUGUACACAGUUCAGAAAAGAGAAUGAGGGGUCAAUCUAGUUACUUUCAACUAGUACUCUCUGUUGGUCUGUUUCUCUGUCUCUCUCUCUCUCUCUCUCUCUGUCUCUCAUGAAAAAGACUUGACUAAAAGAGAACAGAAGAUUUCAGAGAGCACAGAAUGUAGUAGGAGAGUGAUAAGUUGUGAAACUUCUUUCUCUUUCUCUAUCCACAGACACACAUACAUACAUAUAAUAAAUAUACAUACACAUAUAUACAACAUAUAUAAAUAUAUCAAAACAUAUCUCUGAAUGUAUUAAUAUAUGUGUACUGUCAUGAGAUAAAAUGCAUUGUCAAGUAGGUCAUGAGCAAAAGUUUGAAAGCCACUGAUAUAGACACACAUAACCAUAUGUCAAAGUAAAAUAACUGAAUCAAAGUAUUUAGAAUGUGUUAUGAAUUCACCAAAAUUGCUAAAAUUAAAACAGAUAAAAGAAUAAGUGUUGGCGAGGUUAUAAAACACUUGGAACUCUCAUAUAAUGCUGCCAGACAUGUAAAAUGGGGUGUUCAUUUUAGAAAACUUUUUGGUGCUAUUUGCUAACGGUGAACAUAUGCAUGCCCUGUGUCCCAGCAAUUGCAUUCCUAGGUAUAUAUGCAACAAAGAUACUUAGGAUGUUCAAGGCAGCAUUACUCAUUAUGGCUAACAGCUGGAAGCAACCUACAUGCCCGUCAACAGGAGCCAGGAUAAAGAAAUUGGGGUAUAUUUUCUCCAUGAGUUGAAUCUCACAAACACAAUGUUGAGUGUAAGCAGUUGGGCACAAAGGAGCACAUACUGUGUGUGUGUGUGAUUACGUUUACAUCAAGUAAAACCCAGGCAAGCCUAAUUAUGCCAUUAGAAGUUGGCAGUGAUUGGAAUGACAUACAAGUGGGCAUGCUCUGGGUGCCAUUUGUGUUUUGUUUUUUGAUCUGAGUGCCUUGUGUUCAGUUUUUGAAAACUCAUCAAGCUAAACAUUUAUGAUUUGUGUACUUUUUUUCUAAAGGAAUAUUAAACUUCAGCAAAACGUUUUAAAAGUGUCAUGAGUUCAAGAGGAGUAAUGAUUCAUUGAAAGAGUAAGACAUUGGAAAUGGCUCUUGGAGGAGACAAAAUUGGAGGACAGGCAAGAUUCUGACAGGAAGAGAGUUGGGGGGACCCUUUGCUAGAGGACCCCUGGGUAAGGCAAGCAUGGAUUAUAUAUAUGUAUAUAUAGUUAUCUGCAUGAUCAGAUCUUAUUCUUACUCACCUUGAGGCUCGAAAUACUUGCUGGUGGGGCACAUUGCAGGUCAGCACAGCCCAGCUCCUCAGGUACAUGAGCCCAAUGAGUUUGAGAACGUUGAACGCUGGGAGACAUGGGGAGAAGAAGGCCCCCAUCCUGGAACCAUGAGGAAGGUCGGUUUGCAUCUGUUCUUUUCCAGCCUAUCUCCCAGGACUAUGGAAGCCCCAUGCAGGAACAUGGUUCUGAGACUUUGGGGGUUAUACCCUAAGCUUAGAGAACUGGAAAAGCCCCUGAAGUCCCGAGACCACAACCCUCCACCUUCUAAAGAUAAGACAAGUCACUGAAGGACAAGAGUGUGGCCAAGCAUCAAUCUCACCCCCAGAGACCAGACGGUGUCCAGGUCUUGGGCAGACGAAACCUGCUCCUUGGGGAUGGUCUUCCUGGCUGUGCUUCCAAAGGGCUGGCCUGCAAUCAGCUGGUUUUCACUUGAUCCUUUCGGGGUUUGCAUUAUAUCUGACUGAAGGAAUGAACUGGGAGAGAACAGCAGAGCCGCAGCGGAAUGUGGAAAGGCCCACGUCGAGACUGUUCCCAUUCUGGGAAUGAAGAUGACCACAAAGUUACAGGCGAGACGAGCAAAUUUCCGCCAGAGCUAGACAAGAGGGGUCAGGAUUAGAGAGGUCACAUACGUGAAGAUGGCAAUGGCUGUGCAGUACUAGGCACCUAAAUGGAAUAUACCAGACACUCCCUCUGGUACCUUUAAUUAUGGAUUAUGGCUUCAUAGGCCUUUAAGCUGCACUAGAACCAAAGUAGCUCCCUUGUCUGUGCUCCUAACCAGGUGAAUGGACACCAGCUUUGGAGGAAUAAUGCAAGCUGCAGCCCCAUAGAAUAUGCACCUCAAUACAGACACCACCCGAGCCGUGAUGCCUGUAUUGAAGUGCAUAUUCUAUAGGGUUGCAGUUUGCAUUAGCCAUCCCAUUCCUGAUGAGGGGUAUCUUUUGCUCUUUGAGAAAAAAAAAUUUUUUUAACUUUUGGCAAUUACAUCUUAAAACCACAAGACACAGUACAAAUUACUCGAGGAAUGAUAUCUAAAUAAAUCCACUUGAUCCUGUCAUAAACCUAAGGGGAUUCUGAGAGUGUGCCCCAGGAAUCCAGAUGCCUAACAGACUCCCCAGGUGAUUACAAGUGCAUCCCUGUUUAAGGACCAAGAGUCUAGAGCCUACCCUGAAAAUGAGCCCCACCCUAAUGUGUGACUCGCCUCCUGCUACAGCCUCUUUCCUGGAUAGAGCUGUCAGGGAUAAGGUCUAAAAAUUUGUCUUGUAUUUUUGGCCGGGCGCGGUGGCUCACGCCUGUAAUCCAACACUUUGGGAGGCCAAGACGGGCAGAUCACGAGGUCAGGAGUUCGAGACCAGCCUGGCUAAUAAAGUGAAACCCAGUCUCUACUAAAAAUACAAAAAUUAGUCAGGUGUGGUGGCGUGCGCCUGUAGACCCAGCUACUCUACUGAGGCAGAAGAAUCGCUUGAACCCGGGAGGCAGAGGUUGCAGUGAGCCGAGACCGUGCCACUGCACUGCAGCCUGGGGGACAGAGUGAGACUCCAUCUCAAAAAAAAAAAAAUUGUCUUAUGUUUUUAAGAUGCAAUUGCCAAAAGUUUAAAAAACAUUUCUCAAAAGCGAAUAAAGCAAGACAUGCCCUGACACUAGUUCUGCUUCCAACAAAGUUGGCAGGUUGUGCAUUUUAACACACAAACAAUCUGGGUUUGUGCUGGAAGCAAAUGAUAUCAUUGCAGAAAGAGGGAUUACAAAUGUAAUUAUGACAUUCUGAACUAUAAGACCACACAUGGUCCCGGUAUAGACAUGUAUGAUAAUGUCAUUCUGGACGUGUCUGCUGAGGCCAGAAUGGCUGCUUGUAAAUGAAAAUCUGAAUUUUAUCAGAAGUUUAUCAGAAGUUGUUCAUCUUCUGUUCAUGAUUUGAGAGCCAACUCAAAUACAGCCACUCCCACGAACACAGAAUCUCUGUAGCCAGAAAAGAAAUUCUCCUCUUUGUAAACUCCCCCAGCAAUAAUUUUUGGUCUCUCUCAUAAUGUUUAUCAUAUCCUACCUUACAUUACCUUAAUUUUGUUCACCUGGCUUGUCUCCUAGGGCAUAGAGAGGGAGAGGCAGGCUUUCUGAUCAUUUAUUCCCCCAGUAUCCCGAGGAAGGGGUGCACCAUCAUCCUUUGGCAAGGGCUUGGUGUUGGAAAGCAUUGAGUCUCUGGCCCGUUUUAAAGCCCUGAAGUCUAAGAAGCACAGGGCAGAAAGCCAGAGACCUGAGUUCUAGCUCUAAUUUCACAUCUAUCUCACUAUGUGUCCCUGGGGAAGUUAUUUUAUUUCCUUGGAUUCCAUUUCUCCAUCUGUAUAAGAAGUAAGAUUUGAUUAGUGGCAUUCAGAGUGCUCUUUAAAUUUAAAGUUGUAUGAGAAUUUUCAUACAUGCAACGGGCUAAGGCAGGGCAACUUUUGUAGGUGGGGGUAAAAAAUCUCCCCCACCACCCCAUCAGUAGUGCUUGAGGAGCCAGGGCCCUUGAACUCAGGUUAGAGAGCACUGGACUGAAUGGCCCAAGAUGCUCAUUCUGGGAAUAAGAGUCUAUGCAAGUUGGCCUAAAGGAACUUCUUAAAGGAAAAUGUGAUUGAAAAAGGUGAUUUGUUGAUGACAUGUUCAGUAAGGCAUGGGGGAAAAAGUUUCAUGCUUCUCUGAUGAUUUAUACCAAAUCUCCACAGCAAAAGCCUUGAAACAGGAAUAAUUCAAAAUUUAAGAAAAAAGCAAAAUCAAAACAAAGAAAAACUAAACUUGGAAGAAAUAGAUCCUAAUUGUGGGUUUGGGUUAUUGAGCUUUGGUAACUAAGAAUAAGUUCUUUCUUUGGAAAGACUUACAUGUCCACGCAGAAGAUAUUUAACAACAUAUAUGAUAGUUCAUGUAAAGUAUAUUUAUUCAUAGUAUGUGUUAAGCACCUAGAUUGUGUUGACCUAUCAACAUGUCAACAUGAACUAUCAUACAUGUUGUUAGAUAUGUGAUACAUGCACAUAUCAUUAUACAUACAUACAUAUGUAUGUAUACAUGUAUCGUUAUACAUGUAUGUAUCAUACAGAUCUAACAAUAUGUAUGACAGUUCAUGAGAAGUAUAUUUAUUCAUAGUAUGUAUUAAGCACCUAGGUUGUGUUUUCCUGUGAAUGCAGAUAGUGAACACGACAUGCAAGAUGUCAGCUGGUGUGGAGUUUGCAUUCAGGUAGAGACAAGGCAGUCACAAGCAAGUCCAUGCCACAAUGGGACACAGUCUAUUAGGACUGGAGGAGAAGGCCCUUUAAACAAGGUCAGGGAAGGUCUAGCUGAGGAGGUCAUACUUCAGCUGAGACUUGAAUGAAAAGGAAAAUGAAAAGUAAAUGGGAAGAGUAGCUUUCUAAAAGGGGAGAACAGCCAGUACAAGUUGUGGGUUAGCACGAGCUGAGCGUUUCACAGAAGGGGAUGGAGGAGAGAGGAGCGAGAUAAAAAUUUGGAUUACCUUACUGAGUGUAAAAACUCUGCUUCUAAUAAUUCAGCCCAUUAUCAAGUUAUACCUUUAAUAAUACUGAGUUUACUAUUGCUAAAAGUCUCAAUAGCUUUUCAUUGUUAUAUAUAUAUUAUAGGUCGUUUGAAUUCAGGUGAAAUACUUUAUUUCCUGUAGCACUUCAGCUUAUUUAGAGAAAACAAAAGAGCUUGGUAGUUCAUAUGUCUACAAAAAGAUAAUUUAUUUCAUAAACUCCAUCAUAGUGUGGCAGGAAUAAGGAGUCAUGGAUGAUUUGGUCAUAAAAACAGAUUAGAAUUGUAAAGAAGAUUUUUGUGAAGAGUAAGAAGAAAGAAUGCCAAGAUGUGUCCUUAGGGAUUCUUUGAUAGUUUAUAAUUUUUAAGACAUGUAAAAUUUAUGACCAGCUUUAAUUUAAGCUAUAUUAAGAAUAUUUUUGUUUCAGAGAAUCUAAAAAGAGUGUAUCUGUCAGUUAUUGUCUCUUAAGAUAACAAACAAAAAUGUAAUAAUCAACAUUGGUGCAGGUAUUAUGAGACUAAUAAUGGCGAUAUAAAUCAUCAAGGCUUUUAGAAAAUAAUCUUUAAAUAUUUAUCAAAAGCCAAACAAUGGACCACAGUCUUUUCUAUAGGGAUUGCAAUUCUGGCAUUCACCCUAAGAAAAAAAUUCAAAAAGAUAGAAAAAUCUAUAUGUGCAAAGAUGUUCUUCGUAGGGCUAUUAAUAAUAAUGAAAAAUUAGAAGCAAUUUAAAUAUCCACCAGUGGCCAAAUGACUAAUUAAAUUAAUAUACAUUUAUCUGAUGGAAUACCACACAGUCAGUGAAAACCAUUAAAUAUAAAAACUAUAUAGCAACAUGGAAAAAAAUAAUAUAAUGGUGUUAUGUGAAAAAAGAGGCAAGACAAAAAUGUAUAUACACUACAAUUAUGGUAUGAAAAUAAUUAUGCAAUGACUGAUGUGAAAUUUCUAAAAUGAUAUUAUAUUGGGAAGUAGGGGGUAUAGAAGGAGAAGUUAUUUUUCUUUGUUUCUACACAUUUAUGAAAUGACUUUAUAAGCAGAUAAUUUUAAUGUAUACUUUUCCUUUAAGUAACUGAAUGGGAAAAAUAACAAACAAAAACCUUAACAUUGUAUUAUAAAAUGAGCAUUGGCAUAUACCUGCAACUUUCUCAUUGUAAGAAAUACAGCUGUAUACAGGGACACGGUGAAUCAAACCUAUGAAUAUGGGUGGGAUUAACUCAGGAAAGGUGCUAGAUCACUUUUGCCAUCCUUUCUCCUGAUGAAUUAGGCUUACCCAGUUUCACACAAUUGGGAAGGGAAGGCGUCUAGGACUAAAAUUCAAGUUGGGAAAUUCAUACUUUUCAACUCUAUCAUCCUGAUCUACAGCUGUAUUAUAGACUGGCACUCGCAACCUGUGUAUGAUGGCAAGUGUGAUGGCAAACACAACCUCCUGGUUCUGGAGACCGCAGUGCUCACAUGUGUGUGUGUUUUUUUGUUGUUGUUGUUGUUUUGUUUGUUUGUUUUUUGAGAGGGAGUCUCACUCUGUCGCCCAGACUGGAGUGCAGUGGCGUGAUCUCGGCUCACUGCAACCUCUGCCUCCCAGGCUCAAGCGAUUCUCCUGCCUCAGCCUCCCAAGUAGCUGGGACUACAGGCGCCUGCCACCACGCCCGGCUAAUUGUUGUAUGUUUAGUAGAGAUGGGGUUUCACCGUGUUAGCCAGGAUGGUCUUGAUCUUCUGACCUCGUGAUCCACCUCCCUUGGCCUCCCAAAGCACUGGGAUUACAGGUGUGAGCCACCGCGCCCAGCCACAUGUGUGUUCUGUAUUACCUCUGCACCUGCUGCUUGGUAGCCUCGGGUCCUGGUCAGCCUCCCUUCGAACUUCAGCACAAUGCCCUUCGCUCGUCUAAGAGAAGAAAAACAUGAUGGUGAACACAAUUGUAUCACACUUACAAUUUCUGCAAAAUGUGUAAAAAUGCAACAGGAGUAGGUUGCCAUCUUGUCCUGAAAAAUGAUACAGCAAAAGAUGCCAUGAGAGAAUGGAGUUACACAAAUACUUCAUGGUCUAAUUUUUGGUAAUCAGAAAACACCUUAAAAUUUUUUUCUUUAAUAUUUAAAUGGAUGCAUAAUUCAAAAUGAUGAAUUUAUACCAAAAUUAGCUACAACUGAAUUUCUUAAAGGCCUUCCCUGAUUCUGGUGCUUGGCUGGGAAUUCUGAGCUUUGGAAAUCCUGGUGGCAGACACGUGCAUCUUGGCCUCUCCACUUAGCAAUUUUCCUCUUGCAGUCAAUUGUUUAAAACUGCAAAUCAGACCUGGCUUCAGAGAAUCUGCCUCAAGUAAAGGUUGGUGUCUGAUUAAUGGCAGCAAAAAAGUCAUGUCUACAUAGACAUGAACAAUCUGAUUCACCGCAAACAAACUUCUAACACACUGAUUGAUCACUCUUGAAUUAACCUGAUAUCUCUGCCUAAAUGUUCAGUCCUGAAAAUGGACUAAAUUCAUUGGGAUAGACAGUUAAACUCAUACCUUAAAUGAACAACAGGAUUAGAAAAUAAAUGUUAGUGCCAUGGACAGACUGAAGUCAAAGGCUCUUAGAGAGAAGAAUGUCACCUUCAAGGUAACCUAAUCAUAUACCACCCCAUGCAGAGAUGCUCAUUAUCUGAUGGUUGGAUGCCCUCUGCUUGAUUAUGUUCAGUGCUGAAAAACUUAGUUCUUCUGAAUUAGCCAUUUUGCUAGUUUGACAGGUUUACUUGGGAGGGUGCUCUGGUCUGUGCAUCACAGCAACCCCCAAUAACACCCACUGGUCUGAGUCCUUCCUUGGAAAACACAAGGUACAAGCCAACUCCUUUAUCCACAGACAGGAUGAUCUCUCCAAAACAUUACCUAACCAGAGUUCUUGGUUUUGGAUCUCUCUUCCUACCAUUGCAACAUCUCCAUCUUAAUAGCCUAGCCAAUGCAUUGACUUCAUUCUGGCCAGAACCAAAAUGUAGGUCAGGAGCAAGGUUGAUGUUCUACCCCAUACCAUGACUACCAUGUUGGGACCAUCUUAAUAGAGCUGUCUGCUGCAAGUUUUUAAAAAGUAAAAGCCUAUUGAAGUCAAAUAACAAUUCAUUUUAUAUCCUUAUUUAUUUUUUAUUUUUUUCUGAAAAUAUUUAAACAUUUUAUGCACACCUAUUUUGGGUCAAGCAUAGUGGAAUACAGAGUUGCCUAAAACAGAGUUUCCGCCAGGUGGGGUGGCUCACACCUGUAAUCUCAGCACUUUGGGAGGCUGAGGUGGGAGGAUUACUUGAGCCCAGGAGUUCAAGACCAUCCUGGGCAACACAGUGAGAUCCCAUCUCUACAAAAAUAUUUAAAAAAUUAGCUGGGUGUGGUGGCACAUGACUGCAGUCCCAGCUACUUGGAAACAUCAACAACAAAAAACCAGAGUCUCUGCCCUGGAAGAGUUCACUACCUAAUAGGGAUGACAGAGACCUUUAAAGACAAUGACUGAGAGACAGUGGGUGUGACAAGAGCUAUGACAGAGGGGUGAUUGGGUGUGGAGGUAGCAGGGAGGGGCGGCCCAAACCAAGGCCCAGUCAUAGACCUAUGCUGAUUUCAUAGGAACUGACCACUUGCUUCCUGCAGGGGAAACAAGCAUGUCCUAUAUCCUCUUAGACAGGUGGCUCUUGCUCCAGACUCAGGGUUAGCUCACUCUGCUUUUAUCUGCAUCCUGCCAUGCUCCCUUGAUUCUCAAGCAGUCAGGGUUCCGUGCUUUUUGCACCUUCCACAGAAGCACUGUGAUGAACCUCAGCAAGUCCAAUGAGGGAAGUGUUGCUCCAGUAGUUUCUCAAGGUGAUGGAGAGGAGAUAUGUGUGGCAAGAGGAUGACGGACGGAGGUGCUCAGAGGGCCAGCUGCACUCUGAGACCCUGGCCGCUGGCCGAACACAUGGCCGGUGUCAGCCAUCUUGGGGCUCUGGAUGUGUUACGUGGGCCAAGCAACAUGGCAGAAGGCCUGGCUUAUUCUUUGGUUUCUGAAGUGCCUUGACAGAAAAGUUACCAUUUGCUCUGCUGUCCCCUCAAAGUUAAAGAGACUUAACCACCUAUUAUUCAGAUAACAAUUGAUCAUCAUCAUUUCAGAAUGAUUUAGCAAAAUUCUAAUAGAAACUAUUUCUUUUUUUUUUUUGAGACAGAGUCUCUGUCACCCAGGCUGGAGGGCAGUGGCACAAUCUUGGCUCACUGCAACCUCUUCCUCCCGGGUUCAAGCAAUUCUCCUGCCUCAGCCUCCCAAAUAGCUGGGACUACAGGUGCCUGCCACCAUGCCCAACUAAUUUUUGUAUUUUUAAUAGAAACAGGGUUUCACCAUAUUGACCAGGCGGGUCUCGAUCUCCUGACCUUGUGAUCCACCCGCCUUGGCCUCCCAAAGCUCUGGGAUUACAGGCAUGAGCCACCACACCCGGCCAAGAACCUAUGUCUUUUUUUUUAAAGAGUAAUUGCUCCAAUGAUUACUUUGGUUAAAUUCCUGUGUUUCAAUAUAAGAGAAAACUGUACUUGGAAUCAGAAAUCCUAGAUUUAAAGCUUAAUUCUAGCACUCAGAAACUGUGUAGCUUGGGUUAGUCUCUUAACCUCUCUGAGUAUCAACCUUCUUGUCUGAAAAAUGGACAUAAUGCCAUCCUUACUCAAAUAAAUGGAAACAAUAGCAGCUGAUAACAGACAUGAAAGGCCCAUGAAGGAGAAUUACUUGGAACAUUUUGAGGAUCAAAACUAUGGAUGACUUUAGCUAUC
Molecule: long non-coding RNA, 17587 nt
Organism: Pan troglodytes (chimpanzee)
Lineage: Eukaryota; Metazoa; Chordata; Mammalia; Primates; Hominidae
Exons: 5
Source: RefSeq, a predicted model, not a curated record